This 2960-nucleotide long non-coding RNA is filed under the name Homo sapiens (human). Its description in RNAcentral is "HSALNT0347011". Lineage: Eukaryota; Metazoa; Chordata; Mammalia; Primates; Hominidae. The record is from RNAcentral.
GAGCUCAGCUCUUGAGACAGAAGUCUUGCUCAAUGCUCCUGGCUGAAUAAACCAUUUCCUUCUUUAACUCAGUGUCUGAGGAGUUUUGUCUGCGGCUCGUCCUGCUACAUUUCUUGGUUCCCUGACCGGGAAGCGAGGUGAUUGGCAGAUGGUCGAGGCAGCUCCUUAGGCGGCUAAAGCCUGCCCUGUGGAACAUCCCUGCAGGGGACUCUGACCAGCCUGAGCGACGUGGAUCCUGAGAGCGCUUCUGGGUAGGCAUUUGCCCCAGUGGGAUGCCUCACCAGAGCAGUGUGUGGAAGGCCCCCAUGGAGUCUCAACACGGUGGCUGAACACCGGGAAGGAACUGGUAUUUGGAGUCCGGACAUCUGAAACUUGGAGAUGAACAAGCCAUGUGGGUGCCCUCAAGAUGUUUGCAACCAUGGAGACUGGAGGGACCCAUGGAUUCCAAAUAUAGGCCUUGUUACCCCAGUACGAGCCAUGAGCCAGUUGAAUCUGAAUGUGAAGACAGAACGAGGACAGACUGGAGUCAUGUUGACAUCAACCCCCAUAACAUGGGGACAGAUCAAGAAAACCACACAGGAAGCUGAGCAACUGCUGGAAUGCCAGGGUUUCACCUUUUGCUGGAACUCAUAUAAUCAAUGCUUAAGAGACCAAUGCUUUCUGAGUUCCUCUCUACCCUGAAUACAAGAGACAUUAAUAGCUAUGUGGAAAUAUCAUCACCCCUAUUCAGCAUGAAGAAGUUGCAGUAGACAGACCUUCAUCCUUCUGCAACCCUUAGGAUUAAGGAUCUUGUUGUAAAAGGGAAAGGGGAAAUAUGUAAGAAGCAUUCAAACCAGAGUGACACCAUUUUGAAUAAGGGCUAAGAAAAAUGAAGCUGGAUCACAAACUGGCAAUUAAGGGCUGCACAGUCUGCAAUUGCCUUGCCCAAUUAAUUUAAAAACAAAGGAGAUGUUGGAGGCUACACAAAUGUUUCUUAUGAUUAGGCAUAAUUAAAGCCUGUCAGUAAUAAUAUGAACCUGUGAUCAAUUAAGCAACUGACCAAUUGUUACCUCCUCCUGCUGGUUCAUUCUACCCAAUAAAUACAAAGGGCAAUAGAAGCUUAUGGGCUGCCUUUGCUCUCUAGAAGCAGGGAGCUCUCUUCUCCCCAUGUUACCUUUCCCUUAAAACAGUUUUUUUUUCCUUGGUUUUCAUUUCUACAUUUGUCCAUUCAUUCAGUCGUAAUGAUGGUCUCAAGUGGUAACAGUAGUAACUUCUGUAAUUACGGUCUUAAGCAGUAACAGUAGUAGCUGCUGUAAUGACAGUCUCAAGUAGUAACUGUGGUAGUCAGCCAGAGCUAAUUAUACUCAUGAUUGUCUUACAUUAUUUGCUAAUUCUAGGAUGCAAAGCCAGAAUAAGAGCAAUGACCACCAUGCCUGACAAACCUGUUACUGCAUACAUCUGUGCUCUCCAAUCAAUAAGGCCGAUGCGGAAAGCAGAAAAGGGGGAGAUGGAGGUGUUCAGUCAGCAUGGUGGGAAAAAUUGUAAAAUAAACCUUCCUGGAAGGACAGAAGGUUUUUGCAAAAGCCUUAGGAUAGAGUUAUGGCUGAAGGCAGCCUAAUCCUCUUUGAGCUAUAGCAAGGGUCAGUGAGAGAGCAUAUGCCCUGGUAGAUUCCUGAGAAAAGGAACAGGAGGAUGAGAGGUUCAAUGUUUUACACAUUGCUGGUCUGAUAGCUCAGCUUCAUUCACAGAGAAAGACACUGAAGGAAUUAAAUCAGCUUGUCCAGCAGCAAGCUUCAGAGCCAAAUAUAAGCACACCUCAUAAUUCAGAGACCUCGUGAUGGGUCCUCAGAAGACACACCCAGCAGCUGCCAAAUGAACAGCAGAUGACGGAAAGGGGCCCUUGGCCUGAUCUCUCAUGGGAGACAGUGACCUUUCCUGAGUUGAAGAUGGUGAAAUGCCAGAAGGAGCUGAUGAGGCUGUCCCACACACUGACACUGCUAUGAUAUCAUGAUUGAAUUUCACUUUUUUCUCCCACCAUAAUGUAAUUUCUGGGCAGUGAUUGGGGUGUUGAUUCAUAAACACCCCUUACUGUUCUGCAUUGGAUUAAUCAUGAUGUACUGUCUUUUUCUCACUAUUUACAAAGUACAGCACCAUGAGAAUCCCUGAAUUUUAGAAUAAGUUUCUCUCCACUGGAAUAUAACACAUAUUUUGGGUUCUUUGCCUGGACUGGUCAUUUCUUUCUUUUACUAAUUGUUGUGAAAGAAUGACAGAGAUGUACAACAUGGUUUUUGAAUGGAUGCUGAGUUUAACUCUCCCGCUUACCAGAGAUAAAGUUGGCCAUACACACACGUCUCUUAUAUAAGAGUUUAUUCAUUGGCAGACACUUUGAUGAUGACAUUGAGUUAGAUGAAAUACUGGUUCCAGUUUGUAGCACUUUAUGAAUUUUCAUGUAAAGUGAUCAUUCAAUUUAAGGUUUCUGCACACAUCUUACAAAGCAUAUCUGUUUAUCAGAGCUCAUUUACUUAAGAGGAUUAAAAUGAAAUCUCUCCUCAUGAGCCAAGGGUGAAAUAGCUAGUGUCCGCUCCUAAAUAUGUGAACUAAUAUGUUUUUCCAUGGGCAAGCAAGAUUUUGUUUUUCUCCUAUUUUUCUUCUUCAGAAGGAAAUGAUUAAAAUAUUAAUAACACAAAAAUAAAUAUACAUUAUAAAACUCAAAAAAAUAAGGAUUUUUAUUGGAGUAAAGUUUUUAGUGGAGUAAAUUAUACAAUAUUAAAAAAGCAAUGGAAUUUAAAAGCAUGCCAUUUUUAAGUUUCCCUUUAUUAAUACAUUAGCAUACACAAAAUCUCAAUUAAAAAUUGCUUUAAAAGAUACUAAGUGCCAUUCAACUCUUAUUCUUUUAUCAUCUUCAAAAUAGCUGUUUAAAUCUAUAUUUAUACAAAAUAGCUGUUUAAAAAAUAUCUUUUUUUAAUUUUUUUCAUUUUUUU